ACUAGCAGUAAGAGUUUGAUCAUGGCUCAGAACGAACGCUGGCGGCAGGCCUAACACAUGCAAGUCGAGCGGGCGCGAGCGAUCGCGUCAGCGGCGCACGGGUGAGUAACGCGUGGGAACCUGCCCUUUGGUUCGGAACAACCCUGGGAAACUAGGGCUGAUACCGGAUGAGCCCUGUACGAGAGUAUGGGGGAAAGAUUUAUCGCCGAAGGAGGGGCCCGCGUCCGAUUAGCUAGUUGGUGGGGUAAUGGCCUACCAAGGCUGCGAUCGGUAGCCGGUCUGAGAGGACGAUCGGCCACACUGGGACUGAGACACGGCCCAGACUCCUACGGGAGGCAGCAGUGGGGAAUAUUGGACAAUGGGCGCAAGCCUGAUCCAGCCAUGCCGCGUGGGUGAUGAAGGCCUUCGGGUUGUAAAGCCCUUUUGGCGGGGACGAUGAUGACGGUACCCGCAGAAUAAGCCCCGGCUAACUUCGUGCCAGCCGCCGCGGUAAUAC
RNAcentral lists this ribosomal RNA (496 nucleotides) under uncultured bacterium. RNAcentral's name for it is "bacterial SSU rRNA". It matches the Rfam family "Bacterial small subunit ribosomal RNA", at positions 1 to 526 of the family's 1533-position model. The record is from RNAcentral.